UACAGAGGGUGCGAGCGUUGUCCGGAAUCACUGGGCGUAAAGGGCGCGUAGGUGGCGGGCCAAGUCAGUGGUGAAAGCUCGAUGCUCAACAUCGAGUCGGCCACUGAUACUGGUUUGCUUGAGCACUGUAGAGGCAGAUGGAAUUCCGGGUGUAGCGGUGGAAUGCGUAGAGAUCCGGAAGACCACCGCUGGCGAAGGCGGUCUGCUGGGCCGUUCCUGACACUGAGGCGCGGCAGCGUGGGGAGCAAACAGG
Molecule: ribosomal RNA, 253 nt
Filed under: uncultured bacterium
Lineage: Bacteria
Description: partial 16S ribosomal RNA
Rfam family: Bacterial small subunit ribosomal RNA
Source: RNAcentral